CCCUUUUGGAAUCACUUAUAUGGUUAUGAAUUCAUUUUACUUUCCCAAUUCUCCACACUCUUUACAAAUAUUUCAUUCCUUACAAACCCGCCGUGCACAAAUCGACCUUGUCCUCAAGGUCGGAGCUGGUCGACAAACUCUGGAAAACAACUUGAAAUGUAACCCCAAUCCUUCCAAGUAGUUGAAUCUGGUCCUAAAUUCGCCCAUUAUACCAAGACCUUCACCCUAACGACGUUGUUCAACUUAAAUAGUUUUCUCUGGAGUAUAGCCACCGGUUGCACAAGUAUUCAACCAUCUGAACCGCAGGCAGGAGGUUGUUGUUGAGCUACCAGAUUGGACCCUACCAGUUUCUUUAACUUUGAAACAUAAAAGAUGGGAUGGAUCAGAUAUCCCGAGGGAAGAUCCAUGAGAGGACACACCCAUCAACAAUAGGAGUGGAAGGAGGUGCUACGUAACUAGGACUCAUGUGGUGUACUGUGGUUGUACUUGCAUAAGAGUCCAAUUACUGAACAGUCCCUUCCUCAAUUUGAUAAUAUUCCUUCUUAUGUUCGAUAAGGAUGGAAGAUCAAUGAUGUUUCACAUAAUACUUAUCUUUUAAAAUCUUUCUUUUUAUUUUUAUCUAUCACGGGUCAAUUCUUUUUAUGUUA
Long non-coding RNA from Capsicum annuum, 647 nucleotides. RefSeq lists it as uncharacterized. The transcript is spliced from 2 exons. Lineage: Eukaryota; Viridiplantae; Streptophyta; Magnoliopsida; Solanales; Solanaceae. The record is from RefSeq and is a predicted model, not a curated record.